CUACGCUGGCGGCGUGCUUACACUGCAGUCGAACGAACUUCGGGUUAGUGGCGGACGGGUGAGUAACGCGUGAGAUCUGCCCUCAGGAGGGGGACAACAGCUGGAAUCGGCUGCUAAUACCCCAUAUGCCGCGAGGUGAAAUGAAUUUCGCCUGAGGAUGAGCUCGCGUCUGAUUAGCUAGUUGGUGUAGGUAAUGGCUCACCAAGGCAUCGAUCAGUAGCUGGUCUGAGAGGAUGAUCAGCCACACUGGGACUGAGACACGGCCCAGACUCCUACGGGAGGCAGCAGUGGGGAAUUUUCCGCAAUGGGCGAAAGCCUGACGGAGCAACGCCGCGUGAGGGAUGAAGGCCUCUGGGCUGUAAACCUCUUUUAUCAAGGAAGAAGAUCUGACGGUACUUGAUGAAUAAGCCACGGCUAAUUCCGUGCCAGCAGCCGCGGUAAUACGGGAGUGGCAAGCGUUAUCCGGAAUUAUUGGGCGUAAAGCGUCCGCCAGUGCGGCCCUUCAAGUCUGCUGUUAAAACAGUGGAACUUAACUCCAUCAUGGCAGUGGAAACUGUUGGGCUUGAGUGUGGUAGGGGCAGAGGGAAUUCCCGGUGUACGGUGAGAUGCGUAAGAUAUCGGGAAGAACACAGUGGCGAAGCGCUCUGCUGGGCA
Molecule: ribosomal RNA, 654 nt
Filed under: uncultured Synechococcus sp.
Lineage: Bacteria; Bacillati; Cyanobacteriota; Cyanophyceae; Synechococcales; Synechococcaceae
Description: bacterial SSU rRNA
Rfam family: Bacterial small subunit ribosomal RNA
Source: RNAcentral